RNAcentral lists this unclassified non-coding RNA (1972 nucleotides) under uncultured fungus. RNAcentral describes it as "sequence contains 18S rRNA gene, ITS1, 5.8S rRNA gene, ITS2, 28S rRNA gene". The stretch from base 830 to 1972 matches the Rfam family "Eukaryotic large subunit ribosomal RNA", at positions 1 to 961 of the family's 3401-position model. Lineage: Eukaryota; Fungi. The record is from RNAcentral.
GGAAGGAUCAUUAACACGUAUCCACGUAUCAACCCUUUGUGCUCUUUGUUUACUGUAAUUGUCUGUCCGCGUGGAAACUUCGACUGUCCUUGACGAGGGAACGUGAAUGGUGGUUUAGCACUUGUGUUAAACUGUUCUCUGUCUCGAACUGGAGUUUUCUACCAAACAUGCGGCGGUUCAAUUCGACAUAUGUCAACCAUUCGGCAUUUUUCUUUUAAUACACCCUUUGUUAAACACAUCUUGCUAACGCAAUUUGAAAGUGUCGGGCCCUUUGGGUCUUGGACUAUUUCAAUAUUACGAAAUGCUUGACAACUCUUAGCAACGGAUAUCUUGGUUCUCGUAACGAUGAAGAACGCAGCGAAAUGCGAUACGUAAUGCGAAUUGCAGAAUUCAGUGAAUCAUCAAAUCUUUGAACGCAAAUUGCACUCUCGGGAUAUACCUGGGAGUACGCUUCUUUGAGUAUCGGUUCUAACACAAAUCGACAGCGUUUUUACCUACGUGAUAACGUGUAGUCGGAAAAUGAGUGUCUCAGUGAAAAAAACCACUGUGUCACUUUAAAAGCAUUGAGUGUUUUUCAGCUCUAGUGCUUCUUUGGUGGGUUCUCCUUCGGGGGUUUCUGCCAAGCCUUUUCGGUUCGAAAGGGUCUUGAACUAGGGACGUGGAUAAUUUCACCCUUGUGUGAAUACAUUCCAAUACGUCAUCUUAGGUCUUGAUCACGAGUAAGCCUUGGAUGUCGGAAGUGCUAAACUUAUGGGUUGAGAAAGGCGGACGGAAGUGUAGACUGUUGUGUGUCUCUCUUCGGAGGGACGCACUUGUCUUAUCUUGAAUUAGAUCUCAGAUGAAGUGAGAAAACCCGCUGGAUUUAAGCAUAUUAUUAAGCGGAGGAAAAGAAACUAACAAGGAUUCCCUUAGUAACGGCGAGUGAAGUGGGAAAAGCUCAACUUGAAAAUCGGUGUACCAAACGGUGCUCCGAGUUGUAGUCUAGUGACGCAUGAUCAGUGUGCGCCGCGGUUAUAAAUCUUUUGAAACAAGGUAUCAUAGAGGGUGAGAAUCCCGUUCAUGAACCGCAGUGUGCCACGUACGAUCUGUGUUCGAAGAGUCGAGUUCUUUGGGAUUGGAGCUCAAAAUGGGUGGUAAAUUUCAUCUAAAGCUAAAUAUCGACGAGAGACCGAUAGCGAACAAGUACCGUGAGGGAAAGAUGAAAAGAACUUUGAAAAGAGAGUUAAAAAGUACUUGAAAUUGUUAAGAGUGAAGCACUGGAAACCAGUUGUACCUUUUGUUCAUAUUUACUUUCUGCCGGCUUCCAGGGAUGUGUAUGAGAGGGCAACCCCUCGUAUGUGUCUCUCAGGGCCGGUGGAUGGGUCCUGUGGACUUUAGGUGGGUCAGAAUCAAUUCGCUUCGACGGAGAAAACCUGGGGGAAGGUAGGAGAGACGAUUUCGGUUGUUUCUCUGUUAUAGACCCUGGGCGAUACGUUGGGGUGGAUUGAGGAUUCGACAACACGCGCUUUCUUGGCUCGGUACCCGUCUUCUGCCGUGCGGGUCGCCACGGACAGCAAAGCUGUGCGUGCGACGUAGUGCGGUACUGGGGCGGAUCUACCAGACGCGGCGUUCGCGAUUCUGACGAAAUGGUUUUCAAUGACCCGUCUUGAAACACGGACCAAGGAGUCUAACAUAUAUGCGAGUAUUUGGGUGGCAAACCCUUGUGCGUAAUGAAAGUAAAGGUCGCUUCUGCGGCUGAGGUAGGAACCCGGAGUUUCGGCUUUGGGAGCACUAUCGACCGAUCAGUCACUUGUGAAAGAUUUGAGUAAGAGCAUAUCUGUUGGGACCCGAAAGAUGGUGAUCUAUGCCUGAACAGGGCGAAGUCAGGGGAAACCCUGAUGGAGGCUCGUAGCGAUACUGACGUGCAAAUCGUUCGUCUGAUUUGGGUAUAGGGGCGAAAGACUAAUCGAACCAUCUAGUAGCUGGUUCCCUC